AGAGUUUGAUCCUGGCUCAGAAUGAACGCUGGCGGCAGGCCUAACACAUGCAAGUCGAACGGGUGUCUUCGGGCACUAGUGGCGGACGGGUGAGUAACGCGUGGGAACAUACCCAAAGGUACGGAAUAGCCUCGGGAAACUGAGAGUAAUACCGUAUGUGCCCUUCGGGGGAAAGAUUUAUCGCCUUUGGAUUGGCCCGCGUUGGAUUAGGUAGUUGGCGGGGUAAUGGCCUACCAAGCCGACGAUCCAUAGCUGGUUUGAGAGGAUGAUCAGCCACACUGGGACUGAGACACGGCCCAGACUCCUACGGGAGGCAGCAGUGGGGAAUCUUAGACAAUGGGGGAAACCCUGAUCUAGCCAUGCCGCGUGAUCGAUGAAGGCCUUAGGGUUGUAAAGAUCUUUCAGAUGGGAAGAUAAUGACGGUACCAUCAGAAGAAGCCCCGGCUAACUCCGUGCCAGCAGCCGCGGUAAUACGGAGGGGGCUAGCGUUAUUCGGAAUUACUGGGCGUAAAGCGCACGUAGGCGGAUUAGAAAGUCAGAGGUGAAAUCCCAGGGCUCAACCUUGGAACCGCCUUUGAAACUCCUAGUCUUGAGGU
RNAcentral lists this ribosomal RNA (596 nucleotides) under uncultured bacterium. RNAcentral describes it as "bacterial SSU rRNA". It matches the Rfam family "Bacterial small subunit ribosomal RNA", at positions 8 to 648 of the family's 1533-position model. The record is from RNAcentral.